GCCCUACGGGGGGCAGCAGGCGCGAAACCUCUGCAAUGCGGGAAACCGUGACAGGGGGAUCCCAAGUGCUCAUGCAUUGCAUGGGCUGUUCUUUGGUCUAAGUAACCAGAGGAGUAAGGGCUGGGCAAGACCGGUGCCAGCCGCCGCGGUAAUACCGGCAGCUCAAGUGGUAGCCGCGAUUAUUGGGCCUAAAACGUUCGUAGCCGGAUAAGUAAGUCUUUGGUUAAAUCCUGCGACUUAACCGUGGGAAAUCUAGAGAUACUGCUUGUCUUGAGACCGGGAGAGGUUGGAGGUACUCCUAGGGUAGGGGUGAAAUCCUGUAAUCCUAGGGGGACCACCUGUGGCGAAGGCGUCCAACUGGAACGGGUCUGACGGUGAGGGACGAAACCUAGGGGAGCGAGCCGGAUUAGAUACCCGGGUAGUC
Molecule: ribosomal RNA, 424 nt
Filed under: uncultured bacterium
Lineage: Bacteria
Description: bacterial SSU rRNA
Rfam family: Archaeal small subunit ribosomal RNA
Source: RNAcentral